Molecule: ribosomal RNA, 338 nt
Filed under: uncultured eukaryote
Lineage: Eukaryota
Description: partial 18S ribosomal RNA
Rfam family: Eukaryotic small subunit ribosomal RNA
Source: RNAcentral
CCCUUUAGAUGUUCUGGGCCGCACGCGCGCUACACUGAUCCGUUCAACGAGUUUUUCUCCCUUGGCCGUCGGGUCUGGGUAAUCUUUGAAAUCGGAUCGUGCUGGGGAUAGAUGAUUGCAAUUAUUCGUCUUCAACGAGGAAUUCCUAGUAAGCGUGAGUCGUCAGCUCGCGUUGAUUACGUCCCUGCCCUUUGUACACACCGCCCGUCGCUCCUACCGAUUGGAUGGUCCGGUGAAAUUUUCGGAUCGUGGCUCGUUGCCUGCGGAUUUCGGUCUGCAAGUUGGGCCGUGAAAAGUUAAUUAAACCUUAUCAUCUAGAGGAAGGAGAAGUCGUAACA